Molecule: long non-coding RNA, 2443 nt
Organism: Anguilla rostrata (American eel)
Lineage: Eukaryota; Metazoa; Chordata; Actinopteri; Anguilliformes; Anguillidae
Exons: 2
Source: RefSeq, a predicted model, not a curated record
UGUGUGCUGUUUGUUGUACUUACUUGCGCAAUGGUUCAGUUUAGAAAUCCGCCUGGUCUGUCCCUCACUGAAAUCACUACAUUGGUCUCACCAAUGGGUCUUCAAAUUGAGGAACUUCCAUGCCGGCCAGAGAGAUGGCCAGAGGGAAUGGUGAUGAAGGCGUUGGUGAGCCAGUAGAACUGCCUGAUGCUGCACCAGGGUCUCCUGUACUGGAGGUGGAGGGACCCCCGACUAUCUUCAGCUCAUGGUGCCACACUGACUCCCGUCCAGAGUGCUGCAGUGUGCUCCUGAGGCACCUGGAGUUGACCACUUUAAGGUGAACAAGACCCUGCAUUGGCUCCAAAAACAGUUCUUCUCGGGCUGAGGUAGGAGAGACGUGGACAGCUACUGCCACUACUGUGACAUCUGCACAGCCAAGAAGGGGCUGGGGGACAGGGUGAGGGCACUGCUCUAGCAGCUGUGCGGUGAGGUGCCUAUCGAGAGAGUUAUAGUGGACGUCCUGGGGCUGUUUCCACUCACUGACGGGGAACCGCGAUGUGCUGGUGGCCAUGGACUACUCUACGAAGUGGCUGGAAGCAUACGUGGUUCCCUCUCAGGAAGCAGCAGUGAUGGCAGAUUGUCCGGUGGCCGCCAUGUCCUGCCGGUUUGGAGGGACCAAGAAUUGCACUCCGACCAGAGGAGAAACUUUGAACAAUAGCUCUUUGUCAAGGUCUGCCAUCUCCUUAGUGUAAGGAAAGCCACACCACCCUGCUGUACCUCCAGGUUAGUAUAGCAGUUUAACCACAAGCUAGCCACCCAGUUGGCCCUGCUCACCUCACACCACCAUCAUGACUGGGACCUGCACCUGCUCCUGGUCCUCCUGGCAACCAAACACUUCCUAGGCAAAGCAAUAACCAGACAAACAACAAAAAAAAAACACAAAAGAUCAUUGGUAUUAUUUAAAAACUUACUUAGCGACUUUAAAUAGUAAAAUUAUUGUGGUUAUUUUCAGUUUAAUUCGUUCAAAAUCAAAACACGACUUGCAAGAAAACAUCAGUAGGUAGCUAACAAGCAAAGCUAGCCUUACAAUCAAGGUUAUUUGAUGCUUACAAUCCUACUCAAGUUAGCUAGCAAUGCAUUUAUUACUUUCUAGCCAGAUUGCCAGGUUAAAAUUAACUGGCAAUUCCUUAUGAGAAUGAAUUAUUUUCCACCACGUAAGUAAUUCAGUUCAUGUAAACCUAACGUUGAUACACACUCCUCUCUUGAGCGUCUAGCAGCGAUUAUAGCCUAACUAUCGAGAUUCUAAGUAACUGGAGAUAAAACUUUUUUGUAGGCUACUCCAUGUAUAUCAUAAACCCUUGAAUAUAAAAAUGACUCAUUGAAAUCGGUUGAGAAAUGUAAACGUUAUAGUGCUUUUUAUCCAGAAAAACAGCAGCUCUCCCAUUUACUUCUAUUUGUAUUCAGGCCAGUCUUGCCUGGACCAAUAUGGCGGCCAUGUGUACGUAUCGCAGCAAGGGGCCGAAGCGGCCAAUGUGGCGACUAUGUUCAAACCCCAACCACAUUUUCCAUGACACUUAUUUGUUAUAAGUGACACCAUAUCUGAAGAGUGGAGGGUCCAAGGUUUUCAAAACACCCCCAUGUCAUUGAGACAACGUGUCCAGGGGAAGCAGCACAGCAUGAUAUCUGUUAUGGUAUCAGAAAGCAAUUGGCAUUUAAUUGAAUGAAAUUCGCCUAUGUACUGCAUGUUCAAACCCCAGCCACAUUUUCUAUGAUGCUUAUUUGAUAUGUGACACCAUAUCUGAAGAGUGGAGGGUCUAAGGUUUUCAAAACACUCCCAUAUCACUGAGACAACAUGUCCAGGGGAGGUAGCAGAGCCUGAUAUACACGAUCCAUUGACCUAUACUACUAUCAUUGGCUGCCACCUCCCCUCCGUACAAGGCAUCUACCACACACGAUGCCUUAGGACAGCACGGAAAAUCAUAAAAGACUACAGCCACCCAGGCUAUGGUCUGUUCUCAUGCUGCCGUCUGGUAGACGUUACCGGAGCAUCCCGGCACGGACUACCAGACUCACAAACAGUUUUUUCCCCCAGGCCAUCAGGCUUCUCAACCAGAAACAUUAAUCUCAGUGAUCACAUUGAUCUCCUCAAUGUAUGCUCUAGCCACUUUCUAUGUACUCAAUAUAAAUUACCAAAAAUUUAAUGUACAUAUUCAUCGGCACUUUAUAUUUACAAUUACACUCUAUAUUUAUAAUAUUUAAUACUCUUAUUCCUAUUGUCAGUAUUCCCCAUCUUUACAGGCUUUGGUACUGCUCUUUCUGCUAUGUAUAUUUUUGAUAUUUUUGCUAUUCUUGUUAUAUUUUUGCUUACUACGUAGUUGUUGCUUGCCAUGUCCUAAGAAUUUCAUUGUUCAGAAUGACCCUGUGUUAUACUGUGCACUUGAUAAAUAAAACACUUUGACUUUGA